AGGCACGGCUCAUGCAUGCAGCUGCCCGCAGGGUCGUUACAGGACGGCUCAUCUUCCCGAGGCCCCUUCAGGAUGCCUCCCUUCCUGCUUCGGCGCGGAGACCGAGUAGUUUUUUUUUUUUUUUUCCAUACUGCAGUUCGGUCUGCUGGUGGAUCAUGUUGGCUCUCAAUUCCAAGGGCACUCAGUACCUGACCACUUUUCCCCCCAUCUGCCCCUGCCCGGGAGCAAGCCACCAGGUCCCUCCUGGAGAGCUCUUGGCACCUCCAGCAGUCUCCUGGCCUGCAGCGAUGCCCUGGGUGGGCAGUCGUCCAGCCAUGCUCUUCCUCAGCACAAGCAGAGCCCUCCAGGGGCCUCCAUCUCGCACAGGUCACUCCUCACCUCCUUCGAGUCUCUUGUCUGGUGCCACUUUCUCAUAAAGCCUUCCUCGACUGGCUUCUCAAAAUGUGCAGCCUGUGUCCCCCGCCCCCUUGUUUUCUUGCACCUCCUGGCCUCAUCUGACACGUGUGCAUUCAUUUGGUGGUUGUCUGUCUCCCACAUUCCCUGUAAACUGCCUGAAAUCAGCAUUUUGCCUGUCCUGCUCACAGCUGUAUCCCCAAUAUGCGCCAGUGUGUCGUAGAUGCUCAAAAAGUAUUUGAAUGCUAGGUAUGUUUAUCCCUGUUUUGCAGAUUGAGUAAUCGAAGGUCUGAGGGGUUAAGCUGCUUGCCACAGACCCCGAAGUGCGAGGAUAUGGAUUAAAAUUCAGACACGAGCUUAAUUGCUCUGUAUGCUCCUCUUUCUUUCUAUCUCUCUCCUUCCUUCCUUCUGUCUUUUUGGAGGCACUCGCAGCAUGUGGAAGUUCCCAGGCCGGGGAUCGCACCCGUGCCGCAGCAGUGACCCAGGCCCCUGCAGUGACAACACUGGAUUCUUACGCUGCUGCACCACAAGAGAACUCCUUUAUGCUCCCUUUUCUUGUUAAAAAGGACAGUAAUAGGUAAGACGCAGAUUUGCCAUGAGGAGGACGUGAAUACUGCACAGGAAAACACUUUGCGGGAAUGUUACUUAUUCAAUUUAUUGAGAACCUUAGCUUUUUGUGUCUGUUUUAUUCCACAACCCGCCUGAAAGUUCUUUUGUGUUCUCGGGUUUUUAUUUAGGAGUAGCUGACACUGUCCCACCAAACUGCAGGAGAAGCCUGCGUGUGUGUUUGUGUCUCUCUGUGGCUCUGAUCUUCCCCACAGGCCGUCCGGUCCAGAGCCCCCCUGAUGUCAGCCGCAGGGCGCAGGAGCCAGGAGCCGAGGAGUUCCUGCGCCUUGACCACACGAGCGUGGCCCUUCCUCCAGACCCCCGCUCCGGACGCGCCCACCUAGCGUCUCCCAGGAACCAUGCGGCAGCUCAAGGGGAAGCCCAAGAAGGAGACGUCCAAGGACAAGAAGGAGCGGAAGCAGGCCAUGCAGGAGGCCCGGCAGCAGAUCACCACCGUGGUGCUGCCCACGCUGGCCGUGGUCGUGGUCCUGAUCGUGGUGUUUGUGUACGUGGCCACGCGCCCCACCAUCACCGAGUGAGGGCCCGCCCCGAGGGAGGAGGCUCGGGAGGGGAGAGCAGAAGAAGGGCCUUCAUCCGCUGCGAUUUUCCUGAUGCCGAGCUCUGAGCAGGAGCCCCCGUCUCCUCUGGUCUGUGACUUGAUUAAAGGUUCUCCACUUUUCUCGGGAGGGAAUAGGAAACGUUUUAUCAGUGAACGUGCCAUACACCUUAUGGUCCACUUCAUGUGCCUUUCAGACUUCAAAGCCGUGUGUGUGUGUGUGUGUUUCUCGCCUGCAAUCGAUGUGUAGCCCCACCUGGUGAGAGGAGGCGUCUCUGGGUCACGGAUCAGUUGGAAUCAGUGCUCACCCCAUCCCCGUUGUUUUGAACAUGACUUUCCUACACGUGUUCACAAUUUCCAAAGGGACUGUGUUUCUUCUCUGUGCUUCAUGUGAUUUGAAAUAUGUCGACUCAAAAGUGAAAUAUUUAUUUUUUGAAUAAAGGAGAUGAUAGCCUUAAA
RNAcentral lists this long non-coding RNA (2014 nucleotides) under Sus scrofa (pig). RNAcentral describes it as "lncRNA (ENSSSCG00035013820.1)". Lineage: Eukaryota; Metazoa; Chordata; Mammalia; Artiodactyla; Suidae. The record is from RNAcentral.